UAAUAGAAAAGGCCUAAUCUGACGAUCUAG
This 30-nucleotide non-coding RNA is filed under the name Mus musculus (house mouse). Lineage: Eukaryota; Metazoa; Chordata; Mammalia; Rodentia; Muridae. The record is from RNAcentral.